RNAcentral lists this microRNA (23 nucleotides) under Ophiophagus hannah (king cobra). Its description in RNAcentral is "oha-miR-365a-1-5p". Its record names the gene oha-miR-365a-1-5p. RNAcentral also lists the same sequence under 1 other name. The record is from miRBase by way of RNAcentral. Lineage: Eukaryota; Metazoa; Chordata; Lepidosauria; Squamata; Elapidae.
AGGGACUUUUGGGGGCAGCUGUG